AAUUAUUUCUACGAAUAUUUAUCUAAUUUAUGUAUACAUUUUAAUAUAUAUAUUAUAAUUUAUUUAAUGCUUGCUAUUAUUUGUUAUAUGAUACUGAAACCUACUUAACCUGUUAUACCUACUCUAUACACUGAAAAAUAUAGCAAUGGAAAAAUUGACAGUAAUAUUACUUUCUUUUAUGCUGCAGGCCACGCGUAUAUCUGGGGCCACUGAUUGUACUCCACCGUGGAUGGCUCAAAGUAAUCCGUUUUACGCAAAGAUUUUAUCAAAAUCAGUCUACAGAUGUCCAUCGGUUUUUGGGGACUCAAAUAAGGAAUACUGUUGUUACAAUUCGGAUGGAGACGUUGAAUGUUGCAAUUAUCAAGAAUAUUUCGUUUUUAGAUUAUUUUGUCUUUUUCCAAUUAUUUUAAUAGUGUUGAUCAUUCUAUCAUUCGUCUGCUGUAUGUGUUGUUGGUUGUGCCCAUUUUGCAUGAUUUAUAAACGCAGACAAACUAGAAGAUAGCUGAAGACAACCAAGGUGCAUCUCAUUAUCUCAAUAUUAAUAAUAAAAAAAAAAAUUAUAUUUUAUAAAGAAGAAAUAAUACCAUGUUUUUAUUAGCUCUGACCUCUGUAUAUUCUCUUGAUGUUUAUAACUAUAUCUAUAGCAGCAAUUCUCAACCUUGGGUUUCCAAACAUUUUUAAGGUCAACUAUACGCAACGUAAAAUAGAUACCUAUCAAGGACAAAUGCCUAAAAACCACAUUUUUAACAUUCAGUAUCUACAUCAAGAAGCCAAAGUAAGAUUAAAUAGAAAUCAAUCUGGUAUCCAGGUCUCUUCAGUAAGCUGUAAUCAUAUUUUAUUAUUUUAUUAAAGAAUUCAGCAAUGUUUUAUAACACGUAUAAACAUACACAAAAUAUUUUUUAAAUGCAACUAAAACUUAAAGAUCAGUUUUUUUUAAGCAGCCCCAUAAUGAAAUACAAAAGCCCCAUUAAAAAGUACUUAACAUUUUGUUGAAAAAAUGCUUUCCAUCAUUUUAGAUUCUGAGCAGAGAAAUGAAUGCAUAUUGAUUUUACAAUAAUGUAUUUAGUUUUAAAUUAUUUUUAUUAUUUGUGUCUGUGUACAGUAUACAGGGAUAAGCAGUCGAAAUAUUGCUUCGAUUUUCAACUUCAGU
Molecule: RNA transcript, 1150 nt
Organism: Metopolophium dirhodum (rose-grain aphid)
Lineage: Eukaryota; Metazoa; Arthropoda; Insecta; Hemiptera; Aphididae
Exons: 5
Source: RefSeq, a predicted model, not a curated record